RNAcentral lists this long non-coding RNA (2560 nucleotides) under Strigops habroptila (Kakapo). Its description in RNAcentral is "lncRNA (ENSSHBG00005016576.1)". Lineage: Eukaryota; Metazoa; Chordata; Aves; Psittaciformes; Psittacidae. The record is from RNAcentral.
GGCAAUAAACCUCAUUAGGCCUUUAUUGAGGGGAUGACUAAUCACUUCCAACAUCUGCCCCAGCUCCCGGCUCCACCAGCCAUCUCCUCUGCGAGUUAUUUUAAUGCUGUGAUUCACCUUGAUCAGCUUUCACCAUCUCCACCAGCCACGUGUGGUGUUUUCCAUUGAUUUCCUUAACUCGUGGGUGUUUUGACGCUUGAGUGCAGAUGGAGCAUUAUACAACCCUGAGAACAACCCAUGCCUGGGCUGGAGGCAAUUAAUGAACCUUCACGGGGCCACCUCUAAUGAUUAAUGACCUUUCACAGGGACACCUCUGCAAUUCCUGCCCUUUCAUAGAAUCCCAGCCUGGUUUGGGUUGAAGGGACCUUAAAGCUCAUCCAGUUCUAACCCCCUACCACGGGUAGGGACACCUUCCACUAGACCAGACUGCUCCAAGCCCCGUUCAUCUCCACAAUUAAUGACCUUUCACCAAGCCAAUCUCUCAUUUCUUACUGGUUUUGAAACCUCUUACCAUGCAGAGCCAUCGAAAAAACAGAGCAUCCAGACACCUGAGGUUUUAACAGUCUUCCGGGAACAACUCUAAAGGCAACAGGUAGGAUGUACUGAUGCCAGGUUUGCACCUCUAACACUGCAUAUGAGCUGUUGUUCGCAGUAUUUGGUUCUGGUUGAAGCCAGCAGUAAAGUAACAGCUUUGCUGGAAAACAUUUUCUAUGUCAGUACUCUGGCACACUGCUGCUGCUCUCCAGCAUCUGCUGUAGCCAAGGAGUUCUCCAACACUCACCAAGAGCUGGCAGGUUCCUAUUUCCCAGCCACAGCAGAGCAAACAGCACCUUAACUGGGUUCCUUUAUCAGAUCUGGAAUCAGCUCAUUGGGAGAUUCAUCCCUUUGCAAAAGGAGCAGAAUGAGCACGGGGACAAACAUUUCCACUAAAACAUGGUAGCAACAGAAGGCUCAACUGAGCAGUAACAGCGAAGGUUUCUGCUCUGUGCUCACAGGAACUGAGCUACCCUGAGUAGAAAGAGAAGUAACAUCUACAUCAGACAUGGGAGCUCCCACGGGCCCAGUAACCUGCAGGAAUUCCUCCCCCUCAAAGAUUACAAACGGGGCAUGUGUCCAACAUCUCAUCCAAGAUGUUAGAGGUUUAUCAAUUAAAGAAGAAUUUCCCUAAGCCCCAUCUCCCUCCCCAGGAACACCAUAUGUACUUGUUCCUUGUAAGCCUCCUCCUCCAGGGCUGUUCUGAGGGUUGAUCACUGGAUGCAGGAACCACCCUCAGCCCCAGUGUUCUCCGGAGCAUGGGGUGAGGGAAGGAAGAUGCACACUUCUAAAUUCUUCCUCUUGGCUCCGUUUGUCACAGAUGCUCUCAUACAAAUUUAAACCUUCAUUCUGUACAAAAGGAAUCAUCUGCUUCAACAGCCAAAUGGGGAAUCCAGCUGUGCUCUCAAACCCGACUUACCAAACAGAGUUCGAGAGAGGGCCGUGCCAAGGUAAUGCCUUAGCCUUACUGAAAGCACAGUGGUUUAAGUUAAACAUAAAAAUACCCUAAGUUAUAAAAUAAAGCUCAUAGCCAUUUGCUUUAUUUAAUAAUCCAAACAGCAACCUGAAACCAGGUGUAAGGAACGGGCAGGGAAUGACAGUCUCCUUGCAGGAAAAGCUGCUGGGUACAUCUCUGUGAUACCAGUGGAGUUUCCCUGUGUUUUUCCCUGCGAGCUCUGGUUCCCACUCCUAUUGCUGACCAACAUACUGACUAUGAACCACUGUGCAUGGCGAGAUCUCACCAAGGAAGAGUCAAGUCCAGGUUUGUGGCAGCUCCAAGCAAGGCCAGCCCAAGUAUUUACACCAAAGGGCUGGGCUGGAAGCAUGGACCAGAGGAGAUGGGACUCCUCAUGGGAUGUCACAUGUCCUCAUGGGAGAUGGGAGACACAGAGCACUCACUGCAAGAGGGUGUUUCUAGAGCCAUGCAUCUCUUGAAGAGAACAGAAUUGUUGGGAAACCCCUCCAGAGAGGAGAGGUGACCAUUGCUGUACAUCACACCCCACAGCACCAAGCACAACGGGAGCCUUUAUCUUGUUUAUGGUCUUUACCAAAAUCCUAUAAAUAAUAAGAUAUGGAUUAGCCCUUUGGGGAAAGAAGGAAAUGAAAGAUCACUGGUGCUUGUGAGCUCACAACUGGCAGAUAAGCACCUCCAGCAGGUAUGUGCCAGUAGAAAAGGGAAGGUUAUUUAGGUGACUCAGCCUUCAGCACUCAAAGGAAUCUCUACCCCUCACUAAUUUCAGCCCUGGAUCACCCCCGGAAUGCCUGGCUAAUUAGAGCAUCUCCAAGAGACACAUCCAGUGCCAAUGGCUAUUUUGGGUCCUCAAAUUAGCAUCUGCAGACUCCAGGCUAAAAUCUGAAUGCAGGAAUGCUAUGAGAGGGAGGAAGAUGUCUGACAUAAGGCAUGUCUUCAAAAUACUUUUCCCAUAUACAGUUAUUUCAGCAGAUUAAGAUUUACAUUCCCCCAUAACAUGAAAGUCUUUCACAUAAACAUGCAACAAACGCAAUGCACAACAAGCUGCAUUACUCC